AGAGUUGAUCCUGGCUCAGAAUCAACGCUGGCGGCGUGCUCAGACAUGCAGGUCGAACGAUUAAACUUUCCUUCGGGAAAGAUAUAAAGUGGCGCACGGGUGAGUAACACGUAGGUAAUGUACCUUUGGGUGGGGAAUAACUUAGGGAAACUUAAGCUAAUACCGCAUAAUGCAGCGGCUCCUUCGGGAGACAGUUGUUAAAGAUUUAUCGCCUAAAGAGCAGCCUGCGGCAGAUUAGCUAGUUGGUAAGGUAACGGCUUACCAAGGCUACGAUCUGUAUCCGACCUGAGAGGGUGGUCGGACACACUGACACUGAAUAACGGGUCAGACUCCUACGGGAGGCAGCAGUCGGGAAUUUUGGGCAAUGGGCGAAAGCCUGACCCAGCAACGCCGCGUGAAGGAUGAAGUCUCUCGGGAUGUAAACUUCGUAAGAAUAGGAAGAAUAAAUGACGGUACUAUUUGUAAGGUCCGGCUAACUACGUGCCAGCAGCCGCGGUAAUACGUAGGGACCAAGCGUUGUUCGGAUUUACUGGGCGUAAAGGGCGCGUAGGCGGCAAUUCAAGUCAGUUGUGAAAUCUCCGAGCUUAACUCGGAACGGUCAACUGAUACUGCUUUGCUAGAGUACAGAAGGGGCAAUCGGAAUUCUUGGUGUAGCGGUGAAAUGCGUAGAUAUCAAGAGGAACACCUGAGGUGAAGACGGGUUGCUGGGCUGAUACUGACGCUGAGGCGCGAAAGCUAGGGUAGCAAACGGGAUUAGAUACCCCGGUAGUCCUAGCCCUAAACGAUGAAUACUUGGUGUCUGGAGUUUUAUUCUCCGGGUGCCGUCGCUAACGUUUUUAGUAUUCCGCCUGGGGAGUACGCACGGAAGUGUGAAACUCAAAGGAAUUGACGG
This 892-nucleotide ribosomal RNA is filed under the name uncultured bacterium. RNAcentral's name for it is "bacterial SSU rRNA". It matches the Rfam family "Bacterial small subunit ribosomal RNA", at positions 8 to 916 of the family's 1533-position model. The record is from RNAcentral.